Daphnia pulex (common water flea) is the source of this 919-nucleotide RNA transcript. RefSeq lists it as uncharacterized. The transcript is spliced from 4 exons. The record is from RefSeq and is a predicted model, not a curated record. Lineage: Eukaryota; Metazoa; Arthropoda; Branchiopoda; Diplostraca; Daphniidae.
CUGGCCGGCAAGGCCAGUGGCAAAACUGAGCGAGACCAAGAAAGCUUUCUCUCGACGUCAAGCAGAAAUCGACAAAGAAAAGUGUUUGUGUUUGAUAAAGCGUCCUUCAUCAGCAUCUCCACACGACUGCUGUCGAUAAUGGUUAUUACGUUGGAGACAUUUGGAGAUGAGAAAGCGGACCGUGUAGUAACUUGACGUUAGCAUCACGGCUAAAAUCACAGCAAGAAAAAGGACAACGUCGACGAGAUACUUCUGGUAUAAUGGGACAUACUUUGAUGACACCUGCAAGUGUUUGGUAUUACCGUGACGUAGAACAUGUUCGAUCCAGUAGACGGCCAACUCCGUUCCCGGCACCAGUCGAUCACGCAUCAAUCCAGAUAACCUCAAGGCGUUGGCUUUAAAACUGAAAACAAAUCAGGUUUCUUUCACUCUGCUGCUAUUGGUGUGCUGCAUUCAAAUGGCUAGUUUUCGUCCGAUUGUAGAGCCGCCUCAAAAGUUUGCGCCAUCGACAGCCGACGAUGCCGGAUUCAACCCGAAUCAGCGCUCUGAAGCGGAUGACUUCAUCCGGUCGAACGGAGUAACUGGCGAAGAAAUUCAAGAGUACAACCGUCUAAGCGGAUUCAACCCUCCGGCUGGUUCUCCAACGGGAGAUGAGCGCUCUUUAGAUUUGAUAGACGCCAUCAAGUUCUGGAACUGGAACAUGUACGAUAACUUCCGUCAAUGGAUCAUUGGCCGUCGCCACACCACUACAACCUAUCGCCCUGUAGUUGUUAUCAAUCAAUUUGAUCGCCCUAGUUACACUAACGCUAAUGUUAUUCCGAACCGACACUAAAUCUGGCUGGCCAGAAUGUGUUCUUGAGGUUUAAGUUGUGUGCGCUGUUUUUUUUGUUGUUCAAUACAAACAUUGUACAUUUCUAAA